UACGAGGACGAACGCUGGCGGCGUGCUUAACACAUGCAAGUCGAACGAUGAAGCGGUGCUUGCACCGUGGAUUAGUGGCGAACGGGUGAGUAAUACGUGAGUGACCUACCUUUGACUCUGGGAUAAGCCUGGGAAACUGGGUCUAAUACCGGAUACGACCAAUCUCUGCAUGGGGUGUUGGUGGAAAGCGUUAUGGAGUGGUUUUAGAUGGGCUCACGGCCUAUCAGCUUGUUGGUGAGGUAAUGGCUUACCAAGGCGACGACGGGUAGCCGGCCUGAGAGGGUGACCGGCCACACUGGGACUGAGACACGGCCCAGACUCCUACGGGAGGCAGCAGUGGGGAAUAUUGCACAAUGGGCGCAAGCCUGAUGCAGCGACGCCGCGUGAGGGAUGACGGCCUUCGGGUUGUAAACCUCUGUUAGCAUCGAAGAAGCGAAAGUGACGGUAGGUGCAGAGAAAGCGCCGGCUAACUAC
Molecule: ribosomal RNA, 474 nt
Filed under: uncultured bacterium
Lineage: Bacteria
Description: bacterial SSU rRNA
Rfam family: Bacterial small subunit ribosomal RNA
Source: RNAcentral